RNAcentral lists this long non-coding RNA (724 nucleotides) under Phoenix dactylifera (date palm). RNAcentral describes it as "long non-coding RNA (PDAC_LNC018953)". Lineage: Eukaryota; Viridiplantae; Streptophyta; Magnoliopsida; Arecales; Arecaceae. The record is from RNAcentral.
UGGUUCGGUUGGGCCUAAUCUGUGUUGGGCCACAAUUGGUUUUGGGUUAAAGGAUUCUGAUUUUUUGGGAUUUAGUCUAUUUAUUCUUGGAUCUUUGAACUUAGGAAUUUAAGGGAUUGGAAUUAGUUUAAAUUAUGUUUCUAAAUUAAUUAAAUAAUUAAUAUUUAUGUUUAAUCAGGGGUUCGUGAUAUCUGUGACAGGAAUUUUUAAGCGAACCCAGGUAGGUGACUUAUUGCUUUAAAGUAGAAUUUUAACAUGUAUCUUGCAUAUGUUGAUUUAUUGAUUUAUUAUUGGCAUUAUUGUUAGAUUUAGAAUUAAAUAUUUAAUUUCAUAAAUUGUUAUGUGCUUUACUGUUGGGAGUAUGAUUAUGACUUUGAUAUAGAAAGUUGAUUUAUUGAUUUUUAAAAUCCGCGUGACUAUAGUCUAGGCCCCGCCAAUAGGAUGAUACGUUGGCCCUGUCGACUUGUACUGAGGAACUAGUUCCGACACCGCGACCACCGGUGAUAGAAUAGUGGCGGCACAGGGGUGCAUUUUGCUCUUCGGAGCGGCUCAGUGGAGCGUGAGUUUGGCACCAGGGGGUGCGGCACAGUGGUGCGUUGGCUCAGUGGAGCGGCUCUUCGGAGAGUUGUAUUGGCACUUCGGUGUAACCAUGCCACUGGGUGAUGUGGCCGUAGUCAUGCGGUUGAGUUAUUUUGAGUCUCGGAUUGGGUUUACAGAUUAUUAU